Molecule: ribosomal RNA, 253 nt
Filed under: uncultured bacterium
Lineage: Bacteria
Description: partial 16S ribosomal RNA
Rfam family: Bacterial small subunit ribosomal RNA
Source: RNAcentral
UACGUAGGGGGCAAGCGUUGUCCGGAUUUAUUGGGCGUAAAGAGCGUGUAGGCGGCCAUGCAGGUCAGCUGUGAAAACUCGAGGCUCAACCUCGAGACGUCGGUUGAAACCGUAUGGCUAGAGUCCGGAAGAGGAGAGUGGAAUUCCCGGUGUAGCGGUGAAAUGCGCAGAUAUCGGGAAGAACACCUAUGGCGAAGGCAGCUCUCUGGGUCCCUACCGACGCUGGGGUGCGAAAGCAUGGGGAGCGAACAGG